RNAcentral lists this long non-coding RNA (4523 nucleotides) under Canis lupus familiaris (dog). Its description in RNAcentral is "lncRNA (ENSCAFG00000051309.1)". The record is from RNAcentral. Lineage: Eukaryota; Metazoa; Chordata; Mammalia; Carnivora; Canidae.
UUUUUUUUUUUUUUUUAAGAUUUUAUUUAUUUGAGAGAAAGAGAGCACCAGCAAGGUGAGGGGCAAAGGAAGAGGGAGAAGCAGACUCCCUGCUGUGUUGGGGGUCUGAUGUGGGGCUUGAUCCCAUGGACCCUGAGAUCAUGAGACCAUGACCUGAGCCCAAGUGGGACAUGUAGGAUGUUUGAUGGACUGAGCCACCCAGGCGCCCCUACUUUAUUGCUUGUUAGAGAAAUGUGCCCACAUGAAACCACCUUCUUGCCUCAGCUAUCCACUAUCACCUUUUGAGAGUCACUGUCAUCUGGUAUUCUCCCAUUUCUGCUGACACUGCUGCUUGGAAACAAUCUGAGCUUUCCUUCUUAGGCAACUUCAGGAAGAGGUACACAAAGUGAAAACAAGAAGUAGAAGCAUUUCUUCUUAAAUCAUUAAUGUGGAUAAAGAGUUGAUCCAUGAUAUAGGUGCAGCAUCCUGGGCUUUAGGGCUAACGGUCAUACAAAUGACAUAUUCUGUAAGAGUCACUCAAUCACCAACACCACUUUUGCACGUAGAAGUUCUCCUAUUGCUUAUUAAUAAAAGCUAAAUUACAAUCUUACUCCUUCUGUAUGCAAGCUUUGGGAUUACAGUUGGUUCUCAUCAUGUCUCUCUGCAUUAAUGAGCCCACUUCAUGGUUGUACUUCUAAUUGCAUGUCAAGUCUAAGCAUAAGAAAUGGAGUUUGGGUAAUAUAAUAGCAGCUUUCUUAUCUAUGUAUGGUGAACCUUUGAACAAUGCAGAGGUUAAGGGUGCUGACCCCCCACAGUGUCAAAAAUCUGUAUAUAACUUCUGACUCCCCCAAAACUUAACUACUAGGAGCUUACUGAUGACCAGAGGCUUACUAAUAACAUAAUCAAUUAAAUAUAUUUUGUAUGUUACAUAUACUGUAGCCUUACAACAAAAUAAGUGAGAGAAAACAUUAAGGAAACACAUUUACAGUACUGUAUUGUAUUUAUCAGAAAAAAAUCACAUAUAAGUGGACCCAUACAGUUCAAACCCAUGUUAUUCAAGGGUCAACUGUAGAUGUAAGUAGAACUGAAAGGGGAAAGUUAAGAUCCUCACAGAGAAAGAAAAUAAAUUGAUUUGGUAUUAAGAUGAAGAUCACAUACUUGGAAUAGAAAUGGAUUCUCAUUUAUAAGCAGCAGCACAGGGUAGUGGAUAAAUACCUGUCUCGAGACAGACUGCCUGCAAAUGAGUUCUGGUUUCAUGACUUACUUUUGACCCUAGGCAAAUCCUUAAUCUCUCGGUGCCUUAGGUUUCCCCAACUGCAAAACAGAGAUGAUAAUUUGAUCUACCUCGUAGGGUAGUUAUUAGGAUUAAUAUUUAUAAAUGCUUAAAUCAAGGCCUGGAACAUAGAAUUAUAUGCAUGUUUGAUAAAUAAAAGAAUUUAAGUUUUUGGUGUUCCUCAUGUGACUUCCAAUGCUGGUCUAGCACACAGUCAUCUUGGAAAUGGUCAUUUCUGCCCACAUGAAAAGAAAAAAAGCUGAACUAAAAAAUUGACAACUUUUAUUAGAUCUGUCAUAAACCAAAACACUGUCACAAAAUCUGGAGAGGCAGACAGACUGAUACAGAGAACUACAACUUACCAGAACAGAAACUCACAUACAGAAACCUCAACAGGAACCUCUAUGGUAGAACACCUGAGCAGUAAUGAAUGGACUAAUUGCUGGAGUUCAAUGCAGACAAGUCUGAUAGUUAAAAACUCUCCAUUGGGGGGUCACUCAUGGGAUGACUCCCACUCUUUCGUGAGUUUUACCUCCAGAAGCCCUACCAGGCUCUCACAGUGAAUAUUGGGGGGAAAAGUCUUCUCAUGCUUCUGGCAAGGGGAGGGGAACAGUUAGCCAUUCUGACAUAGGGCCAGAACACUCUGUUCUUCUUAAUAAGGCUUGUCCUCAAGAGAAACUAUGUCACCAGAGCCCAAGAGACUGGGGUUUUACCACAGUCCACCUAACUUGGGGGAAAAGAAAGACCCAACUCCAUUCCCCAUUAGUUUUCCUGUCUUACCUAAGGAGGAUGGGGUGGGGAACUGAGAAUCACUUGUAAAGGUCACAGCCUAGGGGCCCAGGCUCACUAAAAGACUAAGACCAAAUCAUAGGACUACAGAAUGCUUCCCCCUUCCCACACCUUACCAACACUAGGUGGUUAUAUAUUCCAGUUACUUUUAUCCAGUACAUGAUGUCUGGUUUUCAACAAUAAGUUACAAGGCAUACUAAUAGACAAAAAUAUAUAGUUUGAAGAUGACAGAGCAAACCUCAGAAACUGUCUCAGAUAUGGCAAGGAAUGUGGAAUGAUAGGACCAGGAAUUUUAAAAUAACUAUAAUUAAUAUGCUAAGGGCUCUAAUGGAAAAAGGUAGACAACACUUAAGAACACAAGAGACCAUCUAAAUGACCAUGGGCUUGGGGAUGAUGAUUUUUUAGAUAUAAUGCCAAAGAUAGUAUUAAAAAAAAAAAAAAGCUGGCAAGUUGGAUUCAAUUAAAAUUAAAAACUUCUGUAAUGUAAAAGACACCGUCAAGAGAAUGAGAAGGCAAGCCACGGACUGGGAGAAAAUAUUGCAAAACAUAUAUGUAUCAUCCAAAAUAUACAAAGAACUCUUUAAAAAAGUGUUUUUUUUUUUUUUUUUAUAAAGCACUCUUAAAACUCAAGAAUAAGAAAAUAUAAAACUCAAUUUGAAAAUAAGCAAAAGAUCUGGACACCUCACCAAAGAUUUGUAAAUGACAAAUAAGCAAAUGUAUUUGCUCAACAUAUAUUAAUAUCAUAUGCCAGUAAGGAAUCACAAAUUAAAAUAACAAGAUACCACCAUAGACCUAUUAGAAUGGUCAAGAUCCAAAACACUGACAACAGCAAAUGGUGGUGCAGAUGUAACGCAAUAAGAUCUUCACUGUUGGUUGGAAUGCAAAAUGGUACAGCCACUCUGGAAUACAGUCUGACAGGUUUCUUUACAAUGCUGAACAUAUUCUUACCAUAUGAUCCAGCAAUUGUGCACUUUGGUAUUUAUCCAAAUGAGUUGAAAACUGAUGUCCACACAAAAACCUGUAUCUGAAUGUUUAUAGCAGCUUUAUUCCUAAUUGUCAAAAACUUGGAAGCAACCAAGAUGUCCUUUAAUAGGUGAAUGGAUAGAGAAAUUAUGGCACACCCAUAGAAUGGAGUAUUAUUCAGUAAUAAAAAAGAAAGCCACAAGAAGACAUGCAAGAAACUUAAUGCAUAUUGUUAAGUCAAAGAAGCCAAUCAUUGUAAGGAAGCACAACUUUGCUGGCACAAAUCACACUGUCUAGCACAUAUUAGGAGCUCUGUAAUCCCUUUUCUGCCUCCACUUUCCUCCAGAAGUCUCUAAGCCCUCAGUUAGCAGUGUUCCCUGGGGAAGGGGAGUGGGUAACAUCUGCAAGCACAUUUUUGCAUAAGACUGGGAAUCCCAGAGCUAUGGAAAAGACCAGGCAUAUCACUUUCUGUAAGAAAGUUUGAUUAGGGCUUCUCUAACUUUAGUGUGCAUAAAAAUCAGCUGGAGGAGUUUUUUUUUAAACACAGAUGGUAGGGCCCCUUUUGCAGAGUUUCUGAUUCAGUAAGUCUAGGGUGGAAGCUGAGAAUUUGCCUAAUUUUCUUUGUGUUCAGGAUUACUCACAUGUUACAACUAUCAGUGAACAAUGCAAAUCAAAAUAUUCCUUGCUUCUCCUCUCCCUUCAUCUUAUUGUAUUUAUAAGUUGAAGAUAUAAUUUUUUAUUCCUCUAAACAUAUAGAAAAAUCUUAAUAAUGAGAUCAUAUAUAAAUAGCAAAUGAUAAGAAAAGGAAGCUCUUUUAACCAUUCCAUAGAAGUUAGAGAUGAACUUGAUAAUCUAGGGUUUUAAGUUCAUAAUAUGAAGAAAAAUAUGGAAAGGAAAUACAUACUACAUGUGACUUAUUAGUGUUCAAUCAUUUUUGUCUUAGUCUGUUUGGGCUGCUAUAACCAAAAAUACCACAGACUCGGUGUCUCAUAAACAAUAGAAAUUUAUUUCUCACCAUUCCUGGAGGCUGAAAGACUGAAAUUGGGGUCCUGACAUGACUGGGUGAGAGCUCUCUGAGUCACAGACUUCUUAUGGUAUCCUCAUGUGGUGGAAGGGGCCAGGGAGCUCAGUGGGAUCUCUUUUAUAAACCUACUAAUUCCAUUCAUGAAGGUUCCAUCCUCCCCUUCCUACCUCCUAAUGUGAUCACUUUGGGGGAUUAGAAUUUCAACAUAUGAAUUUGCAGGGGGACAGAAAUAUUCAGACCACAGCAGUUGUCAAUACAUAAAACGUUUUCACAUAUUAACUACAUAGUUUCCAGUUUGAGUCUUGAAAAACAGCAAAACAAAUGUCUUUGCUAAAAUGUAGUUGUAAGUCAAAAUCUCUUUAAAUUGAUAAAUGUGUCAGAACAAGAAAAGAAAAAUACAUUUUUAUUUUUUUCUGAUGAUAAAAGCUAUUCAUAUGCCUUACAGAAGAUUUGGAAAAUAUAUAAAGAAGAAAGUUCAAAAAGAAAAAAAAAAAA